GCCAUGGGCGGGCGAGAGGAGCACGGUGACGGGGCAUGGUUUUAGAAGGGGGUCGGGGAAGGCCCUCUGAAGAGGUGACAUUGGGGUGGAUCCAUGAGACAGGUGACACUGGAGAAGGAGCACGUGACGGUUGAUAUGCCGAGGUCCUCGUCUAUAGCCGCAGAAAAUGGACCACGACGCGGGCUGAUCUGACGCUUCACCUACCAGAACCGUGGCGCCUCGUGCCCUCCUGCAUCCGUUUUUCGCUCACCUCUUAAAUCCAGUCCCGCAGCAAAUAUAAUCAGCUUGACCUUCAGCAGAUAGCCAGAAUCGGACCCCCUGUGCGGCCCCCACUGCUGCUCUUGGUCCCCACCACCCGCGUCUCCUGCCCGGACUUGGCAGCAGCGCGACUUUGGUGCAUCCCCGCCCUGCGUCGCUACUCCCCACCUGGCCCUCAGAUCCCCUUAGAACCCAGGACAGCUCACAUCCCUCCUUGACUCUGAGCCCUCCUCUGGCUCCGGGCUCACCCAGAUCAAAGAUCUCACCAUGGACCACCAGAUCCUGCAGGAUAUGGCCCCUUUGUCUUGUCUUGGACUUUAGCUGCCCUUCACUCACUCCAUAUGUGCACCCUGGCCUCUUGCUGCACUCCAAAUACAACAGACACAUUCCCACCUCAGGGCCUCUGCACAGAGCUUCCCUCUUGUUGGAUAUGGAAAAGGACAAACCCCAAAAUAAUGUGGCCCAGGGCGAAGGAAUGAAAAAGUCACUGUCUUUCCCAGGGACAAGACAAGCCCCGGGAAGAAAUUUCCAUCAAGUCUGAAAUGAUGGUUUCUGGGAAGAGGCCAAAGCAUUGAUCCCACCCUAAACUGACCCCACAACCCCAACUGAUAUUUAUCUUUAUUUGUAAAAAUAAAUCCUAGGCAUGGCCCACUGACCCCACACCCACUAACCCCACACCCUCCAUCUGGCUCAGUUAAGAGAGCCCAAAUUGACACACUCAUUAAUUGAGUCACCUCUCAGUGUGACCUAUAUAACCCAAAACCUCCCUUGGGCCGAUGGCUCUUUUUCCAUCAGAAGUGUAACUCUCUUCCUGAAUAAGGACUGUCCGGAGCUGAUCCAUAAAGCUUGUGUCUGGCCUGGUCCUUCUGCACUAACACCUCUGCAGAAAAGCUUUUCCUUCAUGCAUUCUCCCGACAUGGCUUUCCCCCAAUUCACUCACAAGGACGUUUUCUCUGGCCACCCUGCUUAACACCUCAACCACACCCCAGGGCCUUCAAUGCCCUUCAUCUCUCCUGUCUGUUUCCACAGCUUUGUUACUGUCUAAUAUGUUAUGUGAUUGACAUA
This is a long non-coding RNA of Marmota monax (woodchuck), 1323 nucleotides long. RefSeq lists it as uncharacterized. NCBI's taxonomy places the organism in Eukaryota, Metazoa, Chordata, Mammalia, Rodentia, Sciuridae. The transcript has 2 exons. The record is from RefSeq and is a predicted model, not a curated record.